This is a long non-coding RNA of Panicum virgatum (switchgrass), 2874 nucleotides long. RefSeq lists it as uncharacterized. NCBI's taxonomy places the organism in Eukaryota, Viridiplantae, Streptophyta, Magnoliopsida, Poales, Poaceae. The transcript has 4 exons. The record is from RefSeq and is a predicted model, not a curated record.
CAGCUCGCAAUAGAUCGUGGCCCACCCAUGAUCCUCCAUCCCGUUCCUCCUGCCAGCGAAACAGAUCCUCGCUCCAUCCUUCCUCCCGCCGGCGAUCCGCCCUCCCCCGUAACUUCCUGCGCCGCCCUCCCCCGUGCCUUCCUGCCUCGCCGGAUCUCGCCCCGCCGCUGCAACACCCUGCUCCGCCGGCUGCCAUCGGCGGGCUUCCCGUCGGUGACCCUCGGGCUACCCCGCGAAGGGUUGCGCGGCCGGCCCCCCUCUCGACCCGGCGAGGGUGCUCGCGAUCCCCCCCCCCCCCCGGCGACCCUCUGGUGAGGCGCGGUCCUGUCGCCCCCUCCUCCCUCUCGCCGUCCGGCGAGGUCCUACGCCGCCGGCUACCUGCAGCCUCUUGACGUCAGCGCGUCCCCCGCUGUCCUGUGAGGUACCCCACAUGCUCCCCAAUUUCUUGCGUCUCUAUCCCCGCCGGCGUCUAUCUGGUGAGGCGGGGCUACUGUUCUCCCCAUCUCGCUGGCCCGCCGAGCCCCUGCGCCGACGGCCCCCGUGCCCCCCCCCCCCCCCCCUGUCGAGCUGCAGCUUGAUGGCGUCUGUGCCGGCCACCGUUCAGAGAGGAACCUCCCGCCUGCUCCACCGGCGAGACCCUGCCAAAGCUCCCCAAGUUUCCUCUGCUUCCCGUCGCCACCGCCCAUCGCCGUUUCCCACCAAAGCUCCUGCAGCAGCCCCUCUCCACUGCGCGAAGGGACAUCAGUAGCAUGUCUCGAACCCCUGGUCGGCGACACUCGAUCUUGGAUGAAUCGUUAAUGAGCACUCGCUGCCUCAAGGUCGCAGGUUGGCGCAAUAUGCAGAUUCAUGAUCCUUUUCCCUGUUUCCUUGUUUCGGUGUUCUUCAUUUUUUUUCUCUUUCCUGCUCUUGUUAGUGUACGCACUUGCCUCUGACUGAUUGGUAUCUCUCUGCAAGAUGGGGGAUCGAUCCUGCUGCCUAUGCAUUUGCUUGACCAACGAGGCAGAUGCUUUGAGGCCCUCGCCCCAACCUCAACUAGCUCUGAUCUAUGAAUACAGCCUGUAGAACACCGUCUAGUAAUGGUGUUGAGCGCCAACACCAUCCUUUUUAGUAGUGCUUCAAUGCUUCAUUUUAUUUUAGCUGUUGCAUCAUACGUGUUCUGCGAACUGCUCUCUUGUGGGACUUAUAUUUUAAUUGAAUACUACUUCAACUCACAAUGUAAAGGUUGGAUUAGUCAAUCCCAUUGCUUUGCUAACUGAACCAGCAUUUGGUUAGUGUUCUGAAAUCUUGUUGACAGUUUUCUCUCAUCUUAACUUGCUAAUACUGAACUUCAUGCUUAGUUUUUUUUUUGUUGCGGAUUUGUGCAAUUGAUGAUAAUGCUAGAUUAGCCAUAUGUUCUUGCAGCUUAGGUGCAGCCUUUUCCUCCGGAGGCAUCUCUAUGGCAAUGCUUUUCGUGAACAAAGAGUUCUUGACUGUACAGCAAAUAGCCACAUCGCUUCUGAAGUUCUGAUACAUUUUGGUCAAGUUCUAUGAAUGUCAAACGAAAAGACUCCAGCUUGAUAACAGUAAAGAAGUUUCUUCUGGUGACAUUACCAACAUAGAGUGAGGAGAAGAAUGUGGAAGGCCACCAGGGAGGUUGCCAAUUGAAACGAUAUAGGAUCUGCAAAGGUGUGACUAGAUAAUAUUACAUGUUAUUUUAUUUCAGUUCAUCAGCUCCUGAGGACCUGAACACAUAUCACAAAUCCACUGAAGAGGAAUCGUAGGAAUGCUUCUGGACAGUUGCAGCAGGUAUCUCUACUAUCUGAAUUGUGUAUACUACCAUAGCAGUAGGCCUGUAGCAGGCGAUCGCGCAUUCUGGAACCGGGAGGAGUUGCCUGCUUGCCGUAAUGUUUUUUUUUUACUUUAAUCUGUAGUUAGUACCAUUGAACACUAGAUCAUAUGGCUUAUUUUGUACUUCUGUUAAGGACACUAUAUUUCUGAACAUUAGAUGGCUUAUCACCCCACUCAAUCUUUGCCAACAAAGUAUCCUUUGAGCUGAACUUUUGUCAUAUGCUCCAUCACACAUGGGAAUAUUUGUGACAACUUUAUUAUGAAUCACUCCAUGUUAGAAGGUAGCUAGAUUUUUGCAUCUAUGCAUGUCAUUAUUUUUUAUGAAGUAACAAACUCUAAGAUAAGUUGCAUGUAAACCUUAGUUAAAGUACGAAAGUAUGCCAAAUGGAGCUCAGUCUCCCAUUCAAUCAAGCUAGCACUCUAAGAAAGUUCUUUUUUGAGUGCUUGUGAUUUCAUCCUUUCCGAGUGAGUCUUCGGCCCUAAAGCUUUCGUAAGCUAAGGCGAGAGAUUUCCUACUUUGACCACUGCUGUGACCGCUUUAUGCAAGUCCACUUAGGCAAGCCGGGUGAGGAAUCUCCUCCCGUUUCGUGUAGUGAACGCACCAAGAAAAGCCUUUUAAGCUCAUUUUCAAAACUGGGUCAAGCGGCGCAUUAAAAAGGGCUGGCCCUAGAAUCUGAGGAAAAGAAGAAAUGUCCUUUUUUCACAUGUGACAUUAUAUGUGAAAAUGUUCUCUUGUUAUAGUGUGUCUAUUGCAGGUGCAAUGACUAAGAUGAGGUCGCAAGAAAACUUCAAUAGUGGAUACACGAGCAUAGAUUACAGCGAGCUCAGUAUGAUAUGUCCCUGAUCCACGAGGAUAAACUACACUGUAUCAUUUAGGUGUACACAUUUAGCAUUUUGUUUUCCUGAAACUAAGUCUGCAAAUGGCCAUGUGUAUGGGUCAGAAGCUUGCUGAAAUGGUUGUACGGGUCAGAAUCUAGCUGAAAUGACAAGAUGGGCCUUGAGACAGAUACAGAUAGAGAAUAAAUUAGAUUUAUCGUUCAAUUUGUA